Molecule: ribosomal RNA, 402 nt
Filed under: bacterium
Lineage: Bacteria
Description: partial 16S ribosomal RNA
Rfam family: Bacterial small subunit ribosomal RNA
Source: RNAcentral
UGGGGAAUUUUGCACAAUGGGGGAAACCCUGAUGCAGCGACGCCGCGUGAUUUAGAAGGCCUUCGGGUUGUAAAAAUCUUUUCUAUGGGAAUAAAAUGACAGUACCAUAGGAAUAAGGACCGGCUAAUUACGUGCCAGCAGCCGCGGUAAUACGUAAGGUCCGAGCGUUGUCCGGAAUCAUUGGGCGUAAAGGGUACGUAGGCGGGUAAGCAAGUUAGAAGUGAAAUCCUAUAGCUCAACUAUAGUAAGCCUUUAAAACUGCUCAUCUUGAGGUAUGGAAGGGAAAGUGGAAUUCCUAGUGUAGCGGUGAAAUGCGCAGAUAUUAGGAGGAAUACCGGUGGCGAAGGCGACUUUCUGGCCAUAACCUGACGCUGAGGUACGAAAGCGUGGGUAGCAAACAGG